CGCAGACGGUUCAUCUCACAAGACCGGGGUCAACCACGGCUACAUGCAUGAACGACGGCGCUUCACAACACCGUCUGAACUGACCAGUCUGGUGAAAUUCUGGACUGGAUGGGAGAUUCUACCAAGAACUCUCUCCUCAGAAGUAGUGAAUGGCAGAUACCUGACAGCCUCCACCUGCUAUGAGACCUUACAUUUCCAGGACAUUACAAGGACUACACAUCAUUUAAGACUGACAUCCUGGCCUGUAUUUGCACUUGCCAGUCAAGAUAUGUUAGGUGUUGUUCUCUAGUUAGUUUUACUUGACUGACAAAACUAAGUGCACUUUUGGAUUCCCUCCCCUACCUGUUCUCCCAACUCACCUGACAGGUUAUCUGGCUCAAGUAUGCGUGUUUCUGCCAUAUAUUUAAAGUAUCUGAAGUUAAGAAUAUUUCUGGUGAACAAUACAUGCAAUCACGGCAUUAAAGCAGGAGUUAAAAAUGAA
Long non-coding RNA from Amphiprion ocellaris (clown anemonefish), 481 nucleotides. RefSeq lists it as uncharacterized. The transcript is spliced from 2 exons. NCBI's taxonomy places the organism in Eukaryota, Metazoa, Chordata, Actinopteri, Pomacentridae. The record is from RefSeq and is a predicted model, not a curated record.